This 401-nucleotide ribosomal RNA is filed under the name Pseudomonas aeruginosa. RNAcentral describes it as "bacterial LSU rRNA". It matches the Rfam family "Bacterial large subunit ribosomal RNA", at positions 1435 to 1821 of the family's 2925-position model. The record is from RNAcentral. Lineage: Bacteria; Pseudomonadati; Pseudomonadota; Gammaproteobacteria; Pseudomonadales; Pseudomonadaceae.
AUUCCUGUACUUCUGGUUACUGCGAUGGAGGGACGGAGAAGGCUAGGCCAGCUUGGCGUUGGUUGUCCAAGUUUAAGGUGGUAGGCUGAAAUCUUAGGUAAAUCCGGGGUUUCAAGGCCGAGAGCUGAUGACGAGUCGUCUUUUAGAUGACGAAGUGGUUGAUGCCAUGCUUCCAAGAAAAGCUUCUAAGCUUCAGGUAACCAGGAACCGUACCCCAAACCGACACAGGUGGUCGGGUAGAGAAUACCAAGGCGCUUGAGAGAACUCGGGUGAAGGAACUAGGCAAAAUGGCACCGUAACUUCGGGAGAAGGUGCGCCGGCUAGGGUGAAGGAUUUACUCCGUAAGCUCUGGCUGGUCGAAGAUACCAGGCCGCUGCGACUGUUUAUUAAAAACACAGCAC